This 73-nucleotide transfer RNA is filed under the name Felis catus (domestic cat). It matches the Rfam family "tRNA". Rfam says of the family: Transfer RNA (tRNA) molecules are approximately 80 nucleotides in length. Their secondary structure includes four short double-helical elements and three loops (D, anti-codon, and T loops). The record is from Rfam by way of RNAcentral. Lineage: Eukaryota; Metazoa; Chordata; Mammalia; Carnivora; Felidae.
ACCUGGCUGGCUCAGUUGGUAGAGUAUGUGACUCUUGAUCUCAGGGUUGUGAGUUCGAGCCCCACACUGGGUA